This 127-nucleotide ribosomal RNA is filed under the name Pasteurella multocida subsp. multocida. Its description in RNAcentral is "partial 16S ribosomal RNA". The stretch from base 1 to 114 matches the Rfam family "Bacterial small subunit ribosomal RNA", at positions 1420 to 1533 of the family's 1533-position model. Lineage: Bacteria; Pseudomonadati; Pseudomonadota; Gammaproteobacteria; Pasteurellales; Pasteurellaceae. The record is from RNAcentral.
CCAGAAGUAGAUAGCUUAACCUUCGGGAGGGCGUUUACCACGGUAUGAUUCAUGACUGGGGUGAAGUCGUAACAAGGUAACCGUAGGGGAACCUGCGGUUGGAUCACCUCCUUACCUAAAAUGAAGC